GAUGAACGCUAGCGGGAGGCUUAACACAUGCAAGUCGAGGGGCAGCAUAGGGUAGCAAUACUCUGAUGGCGACCGGCAAACGGGUGAGUAACGCGUAUGCAACCUACCCUGUACAGGGGGAUAACCCGGAGAAAUUCGGACUAAUAUCCCGUAAUAAUAUCCGGAGGCAUCUUUGGAUAUUUAAAGUUCCGACGGUACGGGAUGGGCAUGCGUAACAUUAGCUGGUUGGUAAGGUAACGGCUUACCAAGGCUAUGAUGUUUAGGGGUCCUGAGAGGGUGGUCCCCCACACUGGUACUGAGACACGGACCAGACUCCUACGGGAGGCAGCAGUGAGGAAUAUUGGUCAAUGGGCGCAAGCCUGAACCAGCCAUCCCGCGUGCAGGAAGACGGCCCUAUGGGUUGUAAACUGCUUUUCCAGGGAGAGAAACUUACGCACGUGUUGCGUGACUGACGGUACCCUGGGAAUAAGCAUCGGCUAACUCCGUGCCAGCAGCCGCGGUAAUCUAGUCUACGC
RNAcentral lists this ribosomal RNA (515 nucleotides) under uncultured bacterium. Its description in RNAcentral is "bacterial SSU rRNA". It matches the Rfam family "Bacterial small subunit ribosomal RNA", at positions 28 to 535 of the family's 1533-position model. The record is from RNAcentral.